Molecule: ribosomal RNA, 379 nt
Filed under: uncultured bacterium
Lineage: Bacteria
Description: bacterial SSU rRNA
Rfam family: Bacterial small subunit ribosomal RNA
Source: RNAcentral
AUUGAACGCUGGCGGCAUGCCUUACACAUGCAAGUCGAACGGCAGCACGGGAGCAAUCCUGGUGGCGAGUGGCGAACGGGUGAGUAAUAUAUCGGAACGUGCCCGGUCGUGGGGAUAACGUAGCGAAAGCUACGCUAAUACCGCAUACGAUCUACGGAUGAAAGCGGGGGAUCGCAAGACCUCGCGCGAUUGGAGCGGCCGAUAUCAGAUUAGGUAGUUGGUGAGGUAAAGGCUCACCAAGCCGACGAUCUGUAGCUGGUCUGAGAGGACGACCAGCCACACUGGACUGAGACACGGCCCAGACUCCCUACGGGAGGCAGCAGUGGGAAUUUGGACAACGUGGGCGCGAAGCCUGAUCCAGCAAUGCCGCGUGCAGGAU